This 1040-nucleotide long non-coding RNA is filed under the name Gouania willdenowi (blunt-snouted clingfish). RNAcentral's name for it is "lncRNA (ENSGWIG00000012119.1)". The record is from RNAcentral. Lineage: Eukaryota; Metazoa; Chordata; Actinopteri; Blenniiformes; Gobiesocidae.
AAACUUUUUUUUUUCAGAUCACUCCUGUCUUAUUUGCAUUGUUCUGAUCACUAACCAAGGUUUUUUUUUGCAUUGAUCGGAUCACUAACAGGUCUUUUUUGCAGUGAUCAGAUCACUGACUCAGGUCUCAUUUGAAUUGAUCGGAUCACUAACACAGGUUUUUUUUGCAUUGAUCGGAUCACGAACCCAGGUCAUUUUAGCAAUAUAAUAACCAACUGUGGUUCUUUUCGCUUUAAGAUGUACAACCUGGACAUUUUUUUUUCAGAUCACUCCUGUCUUAUUUGCAUUGUUCUGAUCACUAACCCAGGUUUUUUUGGCAUUGAUUAAUUAUAUGACCGGUCCUUUUUGCAUUGAUCUUUACAUAACCAGGUCAUUUUUGCAUUGUUCUAAUCACUAACCCAGGUUGUUUUGGCAUUGGUCUUAAAACUAACCCAGGUCCUUUUUUUUAUUGAUCCAUUCACUAAUCAAAGUUCUUUUGCAUUGUUCCCUUCUAUAACCAGGUCCUUUUUGCUUUUUUCCAAUGUACAACAAGGUUUAGCAUUGCAAUCACAACACAUUCUUUUUGCAUUGAUCUGAUCACAACCAGGUCUUUUUUGCAUUGAUCCCAUAAAUAACAUCAUUUUUGCAUUGUUCCGAUGUACAACCAGGUCAUAUUUCCAUUUUUAAAAUUUGAAUCAUUAACGUUGCAUUAACUCAAAUCUGGGCACCAUUGAUUUUUAUUAGUGAUAUGGUUAAGAUGGCAAAAAGUGUAAUCCGUGGAGUCUGGAUGAGGUUCAAACCUUCCUCACAUUGCUGGCUAACGACCACAUUCAGAGAGAGCUGGACGGAUGUACUUGUAACGGGCGAGUAUACCAACAGCUCUGUGAGCAAAUGUGCGCUCAGACCAGACCUCUCUACAGUGCCGGGAGAAGUUGGAAAAACUCGAGUGACUACCGCUCAUUUACGACCACAGCGGCUGGAGUGGAGCGAACUUGACUUUAAUACCAUUGAGGGUACCACAGUCCACCCAUCAUCACCGUCUGAUGCUGAAACACCACCAC